RNAcentral lists this ribosomal RNA (253 nucleotides) under uncultured bacterium. Its description in RNAcentral is "partial 16S ribosomal RNA". It matches the Rfam family "Bacterial small subunit ribosomal RNA", at positions 524 to 776 of the family's 1533-position model. The record is from RNAcentral.
UACAGAGGGGGCAAGCGUUAUUCGGAAUUAUUGGGCGUAAAGGGCGCGUAGGCGGCCUGGCAAGUGGAAGGUGAAAUCCCUCGGCUUAACCGAGGAACUGCCCUCCAAACUGCUUGGCUUGAGUCCGGGAGAGGUGAGUGGAAUUCCCAGUGUAGCGGUGAAAUGCGUAGAUAUUGGGAGGAACACCAGUGGCGAAGGCGGCUCACUGGACCGGAACUGACGCUGAGGCGCGAAAGCUAGGGGAGCGAACAGG